Molecule: ribosomal RNA, 497 nt
Filed under: uncultured bacterium
Lineage: Bacteria
Description: partial 16S ribosomal RNA
Rfam family: Bacterial small subunit ribosomal RNA
Source: RNAcentral
GAUGAACGCUGGCGGCGUGCCUAAUACAUGCAAGUCGAGCGAACAGACGAGGAGCUUGCUCCUCUGACGUUAGCGGCGGACGGGUGAGUAACACGUGGAUAACCUACCUAUAAGACUGGGAUAACUUCGGGAAACCGGAGCUAAUACCGGAUAAUAUAUUGAACCGCAUGGUUCAAUAGUGAAAGACGGUUUUGCUGUCACUUAUAGAUGGAUCCGCGCCGCAUUAGCUAGUUGGUAAGGUAACGGCUUACCAAGGCAACGAUGCGUAGCCGACCUGAGGGGGUGAUCGGCCAAACUGGAACAGAGACACGGACCAGACACCUACGGGAGGCAGCAGUAGGGAAUCUUCCGCAAUGGGCGAAAGCCUGACGGAGCAACGCCGCGUGAGUGAUGAAGGACUUCGGAUCGUAAAACUCUGUUAUUAGGGAAGAACAAAUGUGUAAGUAACUAUGCACGUCUUGACGGUACCUAAUAAGAAAGCCACGGCUAACUACGUG